CCCUGAAAGAUGAUCAGGUUGAUAGGUCUGAGGUGGAAGUGUGGCGACACAUGGAGCUGACAGAUACUAAUCGAUCGAGGACUUAACCUAA
Molecule: ribosomal RNA, 91 nt
Filed under: Bacillus licheniformis
Lineage: Bacteria; Bacillati; Bacillota; Bacilli; Caryophanales; Bacillaceae
Description: partial 23S ribosomal RNA
Rfam family: Bacterial large subunit ribosomal RNA
Source: RNAcentral